RNAcentral lists this ribosomal RNA (254 nucleotides) under uncultured bacterium. Its description in RNAcentral is "partial 16S ribosomal RNA". It matches the Rfam family "Bacterial small subunit ribosomal RNA", at positions 524 to 776 of the family's 1533-position model. The record is from RNAcentral.
UACGUAGGGGGCAAGCGUUGUCCGGAAUUAUUGGGCGUAAAGAGCUCGUAGGCGGCUUAGUAAGUCGGCGGUGAAAUACCGAGGCUCAACCUCGGCACUGCCGUCGAUACUGCUAUGGCUAGAGUUUGGUAGAGGAGAACGGAAUUCCCGGUGUAGCGGUGGAAUGCGCAGAUAUCGGGAGGAACACCGGUGGCGAAGGCGGUUCUCUGGGCCUGUACUGACGCUGAGGAGCGAAAGCAUGGGGAGCGAACAGG